AUACAGCGCUAAAGAUGCAAAUGAAGAAUAUGUUUAUCAGAUAGGAAUAUGCACAGAUGCUGUGGAUGUAGCAGAAGUCCCAGAAGCAAAGGACAAAAACAUAGCAGCCUACCAGUUCAUGAAUGUCAAUGGUAAACCAGAGUUUACGGGAGGUCAUACAGUGGGGAGGUACAACAAUGCAUCAUUAACCAAAGGGACUGGUUGGAUUCUUCUUGAGUUCAGAAAUGGAGAUGCGUAUCAUACUCAUUGCAACAAGGAGAAUCGACGUGCCAGAAUCAUGAUUAUUUGUGAUGAAGAUGUCAGUGUUGGGUCUGAGACUAUCAAUAUUUUUGAAGAAAACACCAAUAAGACGGGUGAUUGUUAUUACUUGUUUGAAAUGGCCUCCAGUGCAGUCUGCGGUAGCAAGCCAGUGGUGACGUUUGGACUAAGUUUAGGAUCUAUUUUAGUGAUUGUGUUUGUGUGUGUUGUUUUCCUCUACCUGGCUCUGGGUAUUGUCUACCAUCGAUUUAUGUUAGGAUCCAAAGGCAUGGAGCAGAUUCCAAACUACUCUUUUUGGCAAGACUUUGGUAAUCUCCAGUCUGAUGGCUGUAACUUUGUGUGCCGAUCUGGAGGGUCACCUCAGAAGUCUACUUUUAAGGGUCUGGGGGAUGACCAAUUACAGGAAGAAGAGGACCGAGAUGACCACUUGCUUCCCAUGUAAACUGACCUUUCAGCUGAUAGACACAUUUACCAAAGCAAGUCAUGACCCACACAGAGACAGGCGGCUAGAGAGAAUGUUGUUGUGAUUUGAAGAUAUUUCAACUGCUUUAUGCAAAGUAGACAAAACAACUGUUAAACACAUAUCUGCAUAGUGUACGUGAUGUGUAAUGGAGGAUUCUCGGGUGUAAGGUUUUACUGCCAUAAAAUCAACCGGGGCAGUUAAAAAUGGAAAUUUACUUUCUUUGGUGUUAUAGCUCCUUAACAUAUGAAAUAUAUCCAAGUUCAACUUAUAAUUUAAUUUUACUAUACUUAACCCUUAUGGAAAUCUACUUUUCUUUACAAUUUUUUUUUCCUAGAAAUUAUUACGCCUCUAUCAGCCAGUCAAAAACGAUGUUACAAAUGUCGGCAUUUUUUUAAAAUUAUUGGUUGAUAACAAAACAUUUUAAGCCAAUGAAAAUGCUUUUUACAAGAAAUAUUGAAUUAUACAAAUAGUAAAUGUAGCAGUUUUUGUGAGUUCUGAAAAUUAACAUGUUUUCACAAUGAUUUACUGUGUAAAGAAUUUCAUCAACCCACUAAAUUAUGGGAAAAUCAGGAAAUAACUAGAUAUCAUGCUCAAGCUUUAUAAGUCGUUAAAUUUGCUGUGUCCUGCCGCACGGACCCCUUAAAUAUGCCAAAACAAAUUAAUAUCACUAGAAUAGAUAAUGUACUACAAAUCUGUGUUGAAAAUAUGUGCAUAUCUACAGUGUAUAAGUCAGGAAAAAUAAACUCUGCUAUAAUAGAUCUGGUUUUAAUGAAAUAAAUGAUUGAGAACUCUUAGGUUUGUUUAUGGUUUUGAUCCAAAAAAGGAUUAUUUCUUUGAAUCAGCUUCUAUUUUUGAAGCGACAAUCCACUUUAAAAUUUGAAUUAUUGAAUGAAAUGUGAAUUUCCAUGUACAUGUAAACAGAUCAUAUAGAGAGACAGAAAAAAAUAUUAGCUGUAUUAGGCUGGAAUUACACUUAAGUGUAAUUUCAAGGUAUGACAGGUUUUAAAUUAUUUUCAUUGACUCAUAUUUUGCUAUGAAUCCUAUGAUAUUCUUCGUUUUCACUCGCUUUAAAGUCAUUUGAUAUAUAUGGUGAAAAGAUUUAUUAUUAAUUUUUUACAUGAAUUUUGUUUUGUGCUGCACAUUUAAAAUGCAUUUAUCAUAGGAAUUUGUAAAUUCAAAGUCAUAAAUUUUAGGUAAGUAAGCUAUAUAUUAUUUUUUUUAUUUUGCGUCCAUUUCCUGUGGUGGGAAGUAUCAGAGGUAACAGCUACUCUGAGUAAGGGCUGUACAGUACAAUAGGUAUAAAUUAGGGUUUACAAUGGCAUAUAUAAGUUCUUUAUUCUUUUUAAUCACUUUGCUAAUUUAAAUUGGUCUGCCUGUAAAAUUUUCUUCUAAAGUUUUUACUCAGUUUGCUUAAAUUUUGCCACUUCUGCAUCUUUAACGUUGUCAUUGAUAUGUAACAAUAGUCUUAGGGACUGUCAAUGAAGGAAAUCCCACAGUGUAUCACCCCGGUAUCACAAGUAUGCACGCUAUAGGUCUGGGUAAACAAAGAUAGUCUUUAUAAAGACUUCCCAGUAUCGCCCCGGUAUCACAAGUAUAUACGUUAUAGGUCUGGGUACACAAAGAUAGUCUUUAUAAAGACUCCCCAGUAUCGCCCGGUAUCACCAGUAUAUACGUUAUAGGUCUGUGUACACAAAGAUAGUCUUCAUAAAGACUCCCCAGUAUCGCCCGGUAUCACCAGUAUACACGUUAUAGGUCUGUGUACACAAAAAUAGUGUUUAUAAAGACUCCCCAGUAUCGCCCGGUAUCACCAGCAUAUACGUUAUAGGUCUGGGUACACAAAGAUAGUCUUUAUAAAGACUCCCCAGUAUCGCCCGGUAUCACAAGUAUAUACGUUAUAGGUCUGUGUACACAAAGAUAGUCUUUAUAAAGACUCCCCAGUAUCGCCCGGUAUCACAAGUAUAUACGUUAUAGGUCUGUGUACACAAAGAUAGUCUUCAUAAAGACUCCCCAGUAUCGCCCCGGUAUCACAAGUAUACACGUUAUAGGUCUGUGUACACAAAAAUAGUUUUUGUAAAAGCUUCCCAGGGAUUGCACUCGGUAUAAGUGGGAUCUCUUUCUAAAUAGUUUGGAUUGACGUCCUGAAAAGAUUUUCAUUUUCUGUGUUUCAAAAGGCUAUGGGGAUGGCUUUUUGAGACAAACUCCUCACCAGAAGCUGAGACAUAAUCACCAAGUCCUAAUUUAAAAUGAGCCUGGUCCAACAAUCUAGAUUGUUUGGGCUGUGUUUAAACAAAAACGGACUGUUUUUUUUUAACCUGAUAGAAAUCACAACAUUGUUAUGUUGCCUAUGUCAAAACUGAGUAUAAUUGAACAAUGCUAAAAUAUAUAAAAUUGUUGUGUGUAUAGUUUUCUGUUGAAAUUAUGAAUGAUAAAUUAUUUGUUGUUUGUUCAAGUUGAUUAAGAUUUUGUGAUAAUUGUAAAUAUUCAAAAU
This is an RNA transcript of Pecten maximus, 3209 nucleotides long. It is a transcript of the gene named cation-dependent mannose-6-phosphate receptor-like, with no coding region annotated. NCBI's taxonomy places the organism in Eukaryota, Metazoa, Mollusca, Bivalvia, Pectinida, Pectinidae. The record is from RefSeq and is a predicted model, not a curated record.